Molecule: ribosomal RNA, 334 nt
Filed under: uncultured bacterium
Lineage: Bacteria
Description: bacterial SSU rRNA
Rfam family: Bacterial small subunit ribosomal RNA
Source: RNAcentral
AUUUGACGUUACCUACAGAAGAAGCACCGGCUAACUCCGUGCCAGCAGCCGCGGUAAUACGGAGGGUGCGAGCGUUAAUCGGAAUUACUGGGCGUAAAGCGCAUGCAGGUGGUUUGUUAAGUCAGAUGUGAAAGACCCGGGGCGUCAACCUCGGAAUUGCAUUUGAAACUAGGCAGGCUAGAGUCUUGUAGAGGGGGGUAGGAAGUUUCAGGUGUAGCGGUGAAAUAGCGUAGAGAUCUGAAGGAAUACCAGUGGCGAAGGCGGCCCCCUCGGACAAAGACUGACGCUCAGAUGCGAAAGCGUGGGGAGCAAACAGGAUUAGAUACCCUGGUAG